UACGUAGGGGGCAAGCGUUGUCCGGAAUUAUUGGGCGUAAAGCGCGCGCAGGCGGUCAUUUAAGUUUGGUGUUUAAUCCCGGGGCUCAACCCCGGGUCGCACUGAAAACUGGGUGACUUGAGUACAGAAGAGGAGAGUGGAAUUCCACGUGUAGCGGUGAAAUGCGUAGAUAUGUGGAGGAACACCAGUGGCGAAGGCG
Molecule: ribosomal RNA, 199 nt
Filed under: uncultured prokaryote
Description: partial 16S ribosomal RNA
Rfam family: Bacterial small subunit ribosomal RNA
Source: RNAcentral